AUAAACCACAGCGAAUAAAUUCUCUCGAAUAUUAUUCCUACGCAUCGCCGCUCACCUCCGCCGUGCCGUGCCGUGCCGCCGUCUGAGCCUCCGGCGCGAGGACCGCCCGAAGCUCUCGCCGGAGCAACCGCGCAUCUCCGGUCCGGCGCCGCCGCAGCCGCCGCAUCAACCGCCUGAACCAGAGAGGUAUCACCACCACCAACGAUAAUUGAACAGUUUCAACAGUGUCACUUAGACCAUCCCAUUGGAAAAUUUUUUGGCGAAUGUACUGACCUAAAAGUAAAGCUUGAUCGCUGUUUUCGGGCAGAGAAAUCCGUGAAACGAAAGGCUAACUUUGAAGAGAGCAAGAAAUUGAGAGAGAGGCUACAA
Molecule: RNA transcript, 369 nt
Organism: Syzygium oleosum
Lineage: Eukaryota; Viridiplantae; Streptophyta; Magnoliopsida; Myrtales; Myrtaceae
Exons: 3
Source: RefSeq, a predicted model, not a curated record